This 497-nucleotide ribosomal RNA is filed under the name uncultured bacterium. RNAcentral describes it as "partial 16S ribosomal RNA". It matches the Rfam family "Bacterial small subunit ribosomal RNA", at positions 28 to 507 of the family's 1533-position model. The record is from RNAcentral.
GAUGAACGCCCGCGGCGUGCCUAAUACAUGCAAGUCGAGCGAACAGACGAGGAGCUUGCUCCUCUGACGUUAGCGGCGGACGGGUGAGUAACACGUGGAUAACCUACCUAUAAGACUGGGAUAACUUCGGGAAACCGGAGCUAAUACCGGAUAAUAUAUUGAACCGCAUGGUUCAAUAGUGAAAGACGGUUUUGCUGUCACUUAUAGAUGGAUCCGCGCCGCAUUAGCUAGUUGGUAAGGUAACGGCUUACCAAGGCAACGAUGCGUAGCCGACCUGAGAGGGUGAUCGGCCACACUGGAACUGAGACACGGUCCAGACUCCUACGGGAGGCAGCAGUAGGGAAUCUUCCGCAAUGGGCGAAAGCCUGACGGAGCAACGCCGCGUGAGUGAUGAAGGUCUUCGGAUCGUAAAACUCUGUUAUUAGGGAAGAACAAAUGUGUAAGUAACUAUGCACGUCUUGACGGUACCUAAUCAGAAAGCCACGGCUAACUACGUG